Molecule: ribosomal RNA, 435 nt
Filed under: uncultured bacterium
Lineage: Bacteria
Description: partial 16S ribosomal RNA
Rfam family: Bacterial small subunit ribosomal RNA
Source: RNAcentral
AGCGAACGCUGGCGGCAGGCUUAACACAUGCAAGUCGAACGGGCAUAGCAAUAUGUCAGUGGCAGACGGGUGAGUAACGCGUGGGAACGUACCUUUUGGUUCGGAACAACACAGGGAAACUUGUGCUAAUACCGGAUAAGCCCUUACGGGGAAAGAUUUAUCGCCGAAAGAUCGGCCCGCGUCUGAUUAGCUAGUUGGUAGGGUAAUGGCCUACCAAGGCGACGAUCAGUAGCUGGUCUGAGAGGAUGAUCAGCCACAUUGGGACUGAGACACGGCCCAAACUCCUACGGGAGGCAGCAGUGGGGAAUAUUGGACAAUGGGCGAAGGCCUGAUCCAGCCAUGCCGCGUGAGUGAUGAAGGCCCUAGGGUUGUAAAGCUCUUUUGUGCGGGAAGAUAAUGACGGUACCGCAAGAAUAAGCCCCGGCUAACUUCGUG